This 240-nucleotide unclassified non-coding RNA is filed under the name soil metagenome. RNAcentral's name for it is "partial contains 5.8S ribosomal RNA, internal transcribed spacer 2, and large subunit ribosomal RNA". The record is from RNAcentral.
AACGAGGCCGACCUGCGGCUGAGUUACCUGCGGAGGGAUCAUUAUAGAGUUUUCUAAACUCCCAAACCCAUGUGAACUUACCAUUGUUGCCUCGGCAGAACCUACCCGGUACCUACCCUGGAACUAGCUACCCUGUAGCUACCCAGGAACGGGCUACCCUGUAACGUCCUGCCGGUGGACUUCUAAACUCUUGUUAUUUAUAGUAAUCUGAGCGUCUUAUUUUAAUAAGUCAAAACUUUC